This 73-nucleotide transfer RNA is filed under the name Planctomycetes bacterium TMED75. Its description in RNAcentral is "tRNA-Lys". It matches the Rfam family "tRNA". Rfam says of the family: Transfer RNA (tRNA) molecules are approximately 80 nucleotides in length. RNAcentral also lists the same sequence under 2 other names. The record is from RNAcentral. Lineage: Bacteria; Pseudomonadati; Planctomycetota.
GCAUCCGUAGCUCAAUUGGUAGAGCAGCUGGCUCUUAACCAGCGGGUUGCCGGUUCGAGUCCGGCCGGGUGUA